Molecule: ribosomal RNA, 253 nt
Filed under: uncultured bacterium
Lineage: Bacteria
Description: partial 16S ribosomal RNA
Rfam family: Bacterial small subunit ribosomal RNA
Source: RNAcentral
UACGAAGGGGGCUAGCGUUGCUCGGAAUGACUGGGCGUAAAGGGCGCGUAGGCGGAUGGCACAGUCAGAUGUGAAAUUCCUGGGCUUAACCUGGGGGCUGCAUUUGAUACGUGUUGUCUUGAGUGAGGAAGAGGGUCGUGGAAUUCCCAGUGUAGAGGUGAAAUUCGUAGAUAUUGGGAAGAACACCGGUGGCGAAGGCGGCGACCUGGUCCUUAACUGACGCUGAGGCGCGAAAGCGUGGGGAGCAAACAGG